Molecule: transfer RNA, 72 nt
Filed under: Camelus bactrianus (Bactrian camel)
Lineage: Eukaryota; Metazoa; Chordata; Mammalia; Artiodactyla; Camelidae
Also listed under: 1 other name
Rfam family: tRNA
About the family: Transfer RNA (tRNA) molecules are approximately 80 nucleotides in length.
Source: Rfam by way of RNAcentral
GAGGGUAUAGCUCAGUGGUAGAGUGCAUGCUUAGCAUGCAUGAGGUCCUGGGUUCAGCCCCCAGUACCCACC